GACGUAGGGCGCGAGCGUUGUCCGGAUUUAUUGGGCGUAAAGAGCUCGUAGGCGGCUCGUUGCGUCGUUUGUGAAAACCAGCAGCUCAACUGCUGGCUUGCAGGCGAUACGGGCAGACUUGAGUACUGCAGGGGAGACUGGAAUUCCUGGUGUAGCGGUGAAAUGCGCAGAUAUCAGGAGGAACACCGGUGGCGAAGGCGGGUCUCUGGGCAGUAACUGACGCUGAGGAACGAAAGCGUGGGGAGCAAACAGG
This 253-nucleotide ribosomal RNA is filed under the name uncultured bacterium. RNAcentral's name for it is "partial 16S ribosomal RNA". It matches the Rfam family "Bacterial small subunit ribosomal RNA", at positions 524 to 776 of the family's 1533-position model. The record is from RNAcentral.